RNAcentral lists this small nuclear RNA (305 nucleotides) under Jaculus jaculus (lesser Egyptian jerboa). RNAcentral's name for it is "7SK RNA (ENSJJAG00000003568.1)". It matches the Rfam family "7SK RNA". Rfam says of the family: 7SK was discovered as an abundant small nuclear RNA in the mid-70s but a possible function has only recently been suggested. Two independent studies have found that 7SK RNA binds the CDK9/cyclin T complex (known as elongation factor P-TEFb). Lineage: Eukaryota; Metazoa; Chordata; Mammalia; Rodentia; Dipodidae. The record is from RNAcentral.
GGAUGUGAGGGCGAGCUGGCUGCGACACCUGUCACCCCAUGGGUUGAUUCGGCUGAUCUGGGCGGCUAGAAGGGUGUCCCCUCCCUCCCUCAUCACUCCUUGUCCCUCCGGAAACUGUGCGCUUGGUCAAAGAUGACGACCUUCCCCGAAAAGACAAGGCGCGGUCUUCAGACAGGGCACAUGAGUGGCUGCCCUCCCUGCUAGAACCUCCAAACCAGCUCUCAGAUGCCAGCUUGAGCCACAUUCAUAAUUCAUAAUUAACGCUCAGGCAAGCCAGAUCCAUAGACCUAAGUAACUCAGGGGUU